ACUUCCAAGAUGGCGUCUUCACUCACAUAUCUGGAACCUCGGUGCUCCUUGUCCUUCACGCUCCAUUUGGUGCCUUAUUUUCCAGGCCCUCUUCCCUCAGGUAGCCUGGGCUUUCUCACAGCAUGGUGGCAUCAGGGUUGUAGGAUUUCUUACAAGGCACUGACUUGUAGAAAGUUUUCAGGAGCUCCGAAUGAGGAGAUUCAAGGGCUCUGACGACCAACCGUCGGCUGUCCCAGUACGUCACUUCUUCCACAUUCUAAUGGUCAGAGUAGUCACUAAGGCCAGUCCAGGUUCGCGGAAGGAAAAUUAGAUUCCACGUCUCUAUGGGAGGACUAGCCACACUAAGCCACUGCGCUGGUUUAGAACUGUCUGAAGUCCCUCCUAGAGGUCGUGUGUUUGAUUCUGCAUCUCCGUGAUUUGUGAAUCUUGCAUCAUUUAAAUUCAGCCUUACACACUGAUGCCUUUGGUGCCGUCCCAAUAUUUAGGUAGCAAACUCGUAGUGGGUAGAGAUUCAGGCUUAAGCUUCCAGCCUGGCUCUGAGGAGAACUGUCUGGGGCUCCCUGCCCUCUUCCCCAUGGAUGAGACUCUUCCCAGCCUUGGGCAAACACAGCGGGGAGCUGGCACCAUCUCCCGCUAGACACCUCCUCCUUUUCCUCUUGCCCUUACCAUGACUCCCGAGUUAUUCUCAGAAGUAAAAGCUUUCCACGCCUGCUCUUCUCUCCUGCAGCCAGGAGUGCAAAUUUAGAUAUUGGAGCUGCUCAGGCAGAAAAAUGGCCCUGGAAUCAGGGAAGCAGAAACCUGCAGCUGCCACGAAAGGACCGCGGAGAUGAAGACCCGGAAGCUUGCAUGUGUUGAAGCCCGGGGUGUGGGGGACUGUGGUCACGUACUCGAGGGGGCUUCAGAGACCUCUGGGAAGCCCUUUCUGCCCACUCGAAGCCUGCCCCUGUGCCUGACAAUCUUCCAUCGGGAGCGAUGUCAUAAAGAAGAAAUGGAAUUCAGUGGGAAGAGUGGUGGACUCGGGGACAAAAGAUCUGGGUUUGCGCCCUGGCUCUGACCUAACUCACCAGCAUUAUUGGAGGCACGUUAGUCUUCUCAGGUCAAAGCUUCCAUCUCUCCCUGUUUCAUGAACUUAACUUCUGAGGAGUACUGGUCAGGUGUUCUGUAGGAUGUCCACCUGCUGUUGGUCUGAUGCUUUUCACAUGAGGAUUCUGGGGUGAUGCUUCCCAAGAAGAAGACCUGAGGUGAAGCAUCUUUCUCGUCUCCCAGCCUCCUGCCUCCCAAAUGCUUUCUCCAAGAUGGAUGAAGACAUGCUCCAUCAAUUGGUACUUGCCUCAAAGUCGAGUUUUAUUCAAGUUAAACUGAAGUCACUGCAAAUUCAAGCAAGAUCCCAAUAUCGACUAAGUUCCUUCUCAGAAGUCCUCCCCCAGGGUCAGGCAGAGGGGGAACUGGGUGGUGUUUCAGAUGUGGCUUUUCAAGCUGUGGCCAGAUUGGCAGCAUCAGCAUCACCUGUUGCCUUGAAAACUGCUUGAUAUGAAUGACUGCAAGAUCUGCUGUUAGUCCCCAGAGCUGCCUUUUACUUCUUUGGAGAAGCUGGGACUGAGGUUGCGUAUUUGGGCAGGGCUCAGCUGUGUGGUUCUUCUACCCUAUGUCACCUGGAGUUAAUGCAUGCUUACAUUUAGCUGGUGAUUCAGAUGGAACACUACGAUGGCCUCUCACCCCCCAGGGUCUCUCUGUAUGUGGCCUCUCAUCAUUGAGCGGUUCAGCUUGGACUUCCUUACAGCAUGGCAUCUGGGCUGCAAGAAGGGAAAGAUGCAGCUGCAAACCUUAAGGGCUGAAGUCUCAAGACAUCACCUCCACUACAAUCUAUUGGCUAAAGCAAAUCCCAGGGCCAGUCCAGACUCAGGAGUAGGAGAAAAUAUUAAUAACGCCUCUUGCUAUGAAGAGUGGCAAGUGUAUACAGGGAGGAGAGGAAGUGCCGGUGGCCAUUUUUGGAAACCAUUAACAUAUAAUUGCAGAUAGUGAUACACUCAGCAAUGAAUAUUAAGCCUAGUAAAGGGAAAGUCUAGAAGGGCUUUCAGGAGGAUUUAUCUUCUGGGCCGGAUCCUGCCUAGGAAAGGCUCAUGCAUCCUUCCUACAAAAGAGGCACUGACACUUCUGAUUAAGGUAGGAUAAGCUGUCACUUGUUGGUAAAGUUUCUACCAGUCUCUAACCCAUUGAAGGAGAAUAUUUUGCUUUCUUCUCUCAGAUCUUGUGGAUGUGCUGUGGAAAUGGAGAACCUUAACCAUUGCAUAGAAUGGACUUGGGGCAAGUUCCUGAGCUAUAAGUUACAUAGCUCAGAAGUAGCAGAGCCAGGAUCCAACACCUGUUUUGCCAUACAUCAAAUGGGGACAAUAGAAGUAACUGAUAUUAACCUAGGGCUGAAAUAAGGCAUGUCUGCUGCUUGGUGGUUGCAGUCACAGUCACAGGAAGUUUUAAAGGCACUGUAGCCAAGAGUUUGGCUUCCUCCUCACAGGUCUCUUGGGGUGGCCCUGUCCUCCCUCUUGUUUCCUUGGCACAGCAGGGUCUAGACCCUCUACUCAGCCAUACACAGGAGCCAGGCUGCUGGAAAACAUACCCCCAGCCCCAACUGCUUUGUCCAGUCUUGGGGGAGGUGGGAAAUGUACACACCUAGAAGUGAUGAUGGUAUUUCUCCUGCAGGUUCCCAUGAAAAGCAGCAUCCCAGUGAAGUCAAAGCCCUGGAACCAUCCUCUUCAUCUGUGUUGCUGCUGAGAGAUCAGAAGUCUACCUCUGGAGAUAGAAUCCUUGUCUGCUGCUGGGAUGGAGGGAAGUGCUAACAUUCCACUAGAAAGUGGGUUCUUCCAUGGAGGGACAGAAUUUGAUUCUUGCUGCUUAUACAAAGUAGGUGUUCACAAGGCACUUGUGAACAGCUAGCUCUGCAGAACAAGUCUCCAUCAUCUCGUUGCAGGCUGCUUACCUGCUGGGAGUGGCAUCCUGGGGCCUUCCUCUCUGGCCACCCUAGACUUUGGUUUUAAUUGCUCCUGAGUCUCCCUUCUUCCUGCCGGCUGGCCCUGCGGUCUGUCACCUACGGGACGGCCAACGUCAGAGCUGGGUGACCUUUCAAAGACACCAGGAUUUGUUUAAUUUUCAGAAUUCACCUCUCUUCAUCCUUUUUAUCAGAGGCAGUUAGGGCCCAGCUGGGGAGGCUAUUUGGCAUUUUUCCCUGUAUUUUGAAACAGGUGGGCUGGGGCCUUCUCAAGUGGAGUCUUUUCAACUGAGAGAACUAGAAAGACAGACAAUGAUAGAAUGGGGUGGGGGUGGAGUAGAAUUACCAAGAGAACCAAACAUACAUUAAGUUAUUUUAACACCUGACUCAUUUUCAUGAAAGUCUUCAUUACUGCAUCUUCUGUCUCCAAGGUUUUCUACACACAUAAUUGCAGCUUGUGUUUACAAAGUCAUUACCACAUGCCAAGCACGUCACAUGUCUCGCUUCAUGUAACCUUCACAGCAGCACCUUGAGGUUCUGUUAUCUCCGUUUUACAGGUAGGUAAGGUUAGUUAUUGCCCAAAGCCAUACAGUGUGUUGAGGGGCCAGAGUUUAAACACAGCUCUGUAGACUCAGUCUGUCCACGAAGCAAGAGUAUGUGCAAACCUCACCUGAUCCUCACAAUAACCUUGGAAAAGAAAUGUAUCCUCCCAUCUGAUAGAGUCCGAGUAGUCUCAGCUGCUAUAAUUGUUAUUCCUUCUGUGCUCAACAUUUGUUGGCUGGGUGACUUGAAAGCUGAAGUGAGAAAAACAGUACCUGGAACAUGGAGUAAAAACCCUUUAACAUAUGGGAAUCUACUAAACCCCAUCAGGUCAGUGAAAUAGGUACUAUUAUCACCAUUUUACAGGAGAAAAAA
RNAcentral lists this long non-coding RNA (3898 nucleotides) under Homo sapiens (human). Its description in RNAcentral is "HSALNT0370575". The record is from RNAcentral. Lineage: Eukaryota; Metazoa; Chordata; Mammalia; Primates; Hominidae.